ACAUUAUCCUGGACAGCUCUUUACCAUGAACUAGUGACAUUAUCAUGGACAGCUCUUUACCAUGAACUAGUGACAUUAUCAUGGACAGCUCUUUACCAUGAACUAGUGACAUUAUCAUGGACAGCUCUUUACCAUGAACUAGUGAAAUUAUCCUGGACAGCUCUUUACCAUGAACUAUUGAAAUUAUCCUGGACAGCUCUUUACCAUGAACUAUUGAAAUUAUCCUGGACAGCUCUUUACCAUGAACUAUUGAAAUUAUCCUGGACAGCUCUUUACCAUGAACUAUUGAAAUUAUCCUGGACAGCUCUUUACCAUGAACUAUUGAAAUUAUCCUGGACAGCUCUUUACCAUGAACUAUUGAAAUUAUCCUGGACAGCUCUUUUCCAUGAACUAUUGAAAUUAUCCUGGACAGCUCUUUUCCAUGAACUAUUGAAAUUAUCCUGGACAGCUCUUUACCAUGAACUAUUGAAAUUAUCCUGGACAGCUCUUUACCAUGAACUAGUGAAAUUAUCCUGGACAGCUCUUUUCCAUGAACUAUUGAAAUUAUCCUGGACAGCUCUUUUCCAUGAACUAUUGAAAUUAUCCUGGACAGCUCUUUACCAUGAACUAGUGAGAUUAUCCUGGACAGCUCUUUACCAUGAACUAGUGACAUUAUCCUGGACAGCUCUUUACCAUGAACUAGUGACAUUAUCAUGGACAGCUCUUUACCAUGAACUAGUGACAUUAUCAUGGACAGCUCUUUUCCAUGAACUAGUGACAUUAUCAUGGACAGCUCUUUACUAUGAACUAGUGACAUUAUCAUGGACAGCUCUUUACCAUGAACUAGUGACAUUAUCAUGGACAGCUCUUUACUAUGAACUAGUGACAUUAUCAUGGACAGCUCUUUACUAUGAACUAGUGACAUUAUCAUGGACAGCUCUUUACCAUGAACUAGUGACAUUAUCAUGGACAGCUCUUUACUAUGAACUAGUGACAUUAUCAUGGACAGCUCUUUACCGUGGAUUAGUGACAUUAUCCUGGACAGCUCUUUACCAUGAACUAGUGACAUUAUCAUGGACAGCUCUUUACCAUGAACUAGACAUUAUCCUGGACAGCUCUUUACCAUGA
Molecule: long non-coding RNA, 1107 nt
Filed under: Oncorhynchus mykiss (rainbow trout)
Lineage: Eukaryota; Metazoa; Chordata; Actinopteri; Salmoniformes; Salmonidae
Description: lncRNA (ENSOMYG00000053519.1)
Source: RNAcentral